UCUCUGUUGACUCAGUGGUAAAGAAUCUGCCUGCAGUGCAGGAGAUGCAGGUUCAAUCCCUGGAUCAAGAA
Molecule: transfer RNA, 71 nt
Filed under: Bos taurus (domestic cattle)
Lineage: Eukaryota; Metazoa; Chordata; Mammalia; Artiodactyla; Bovidae
Also listed under: 3 other names
Rfam family: tRNA
About the family: Transfer RNA (tRNA) molecules are approximately 80 nucleotides in length. Their secondary structure includes four short double-helical elements and three loops (D, anti-codon, and T loops). Further hydrogen bonds mediate the characteristic L-shaped molecular structure. tRNAs have two regions of fundamental functional importance: the anti-codon, which is responsible for specific mRNA codon recognition, and the 3' end, to which the tRNAs corresponding amino acid is attached (by aminoacyl-tRNA synthetases). tRNAs cope with the degeneracy of the genetic code in two manners: having more than one tRNA (with a specific anti-codon) for a particular amino acid; and 'wobble' base-pairing, i.e. permitting non-standard base-pairing at the 3rd anti-codon position.
Source: Rfam by way of RNAcentral